Mercenaria mercenaria is the source of this 583-nucleotide long non-coding RNA. RefSeq lists it as uncharacterized. The transcript is spliced from 3 exons. Lineage: Eukaryota; Metazoa; Mollusca; Bivalvia; Venerida; Veneridae. The record is from RefSeq and is a predicted model, not a curated record.
UUAAUGGACAGUUCGUAUUAUGAGAUUUGUAUUCAUGAUAAUUAACCGCUAUUUCUGAAGAAAAGGUAAUAUCCUUAUCUGAAAACAACUUGAAAUUUUCAAACAAGAGAGCGCUAGACGAAUAUUCCAUAACCUAGAUUUAAUGUAAUUCUCCAAAAAUUGAAAUAUGAAUGAAAACAAAACAUUUUUAAACUGAUAUAUUUUGCUACUUAUUACUGUUAUUAUAUGAUUAAGUCAUUUUUCAGGCUGCGGAGGAUUACUGUAUGUAACCGUCAGUUGGGAUGAAUAUUCCUGUGGAAAUCAGCUCUUAGGUUUUCCCACUAAUGCCUGUGACAAAUUAGUGCAGCUUUCCAUAGAUGCUGGCAGGAUGGUCAGUGUAUCAGGAGUAAUGUUAAAAUUCGACAACUUCAGCUCAUUCUUUCCUUUUACAGGAAGGAAGUUUUUUCAUAUAUUUGCGAGUAACACACGCCUGUCCGUGUCUUACGUGAAUGGCGCUCUUGUAUGCCGAUACAACGAAACAGUGUUGGAAAAUCGCGAAAAUGAAACAACCUGGGAAAACAACACAACUAGCCUGAAUGUUGCA